Molecule: ribosomal RNA, 460 nt
Filed under: uncultured bacterium
Lineage: Bacteria
Description: partial 16S ribosomal RNA
Rfam family: Bacterial small subunit ribosomal RNA
Source: RNAcentral
CCUACGGGUGGCAGCAGUGAGGAAUAUUGGUCAAUGGACGAGAGUCUGAACCAGCCAAGUAGCGUGAAGGAUGACUGCCCUAUGGGUUGUAAACUUCUUUUAUAUGGGAAUAAAACGUUCCACGUGUGGGAUUUUGUAUGUACCAUAUGAAUAAGGAUCGGCUAACUCCGUGCCAGCAGCCGCGGUAAUACGGAGGAUCCGAGCGUUAUCCGGAUUUAUUGGGUUUAAAGGGAGCGUAGGUGGAUUGUUAAGUCAGUUGUGAAAGUUUGCGGCUCAACCGUAAAAUUGCAGUUGAAACUGGCAGUCUUGAGUACAGUAGAGGUGGGCGGAAUUCGUGGUGUAGCGGUGAAAUGCUUAGAUAUCACGCAGAACUCCGAUUGCGAAGGCAGUUCACUGGACUGCAACUGACACUGAGGCUCGAAAGUGUGGGUAUCAAACAGGAUUAGAUACCCUUGUAGUC